This 253-nucleotide ribosomal RNA is filed under the name uncultured bacterium. RNAcentral describes it as "partial 16S ribosomal RNA". It matches the Rfam family "Bacterial small subunit ribosomal RNA", at positions 524 to 776 of the family's 1533-position model. The record is from RNAcentral.
UACAGAGGUCUCAAGCGUUGUUCGGAUUCAUUGGGCGUAAAGAGCGUGUAGGCGGUCCGGUAAGUCCGCUGUGAAAGUCGGGGGCUCAACCCUCGAAUGCCGGUGGAUACUGUCGGGCUAGAGUGCGGAAGAGGUGAGUGGAAUUCCUGGUGUAGCGGUGAAAUGCGCAGAUAUCAGGAGGAACACCUAUUGCGAAGGCAGCUCGCUGGGACGUAACUGACGCUGAGACGCGAAAGCGUGGGGAGCAAACAGG